This 1486-nucleotide ribosomal RNA is filed under the name uncultured bacterium. RNAcentral's name for it is "16S ribosomal RNA". It matches the Rfam family "Bacterial small subunit ribosomal RNA". The record is from RNAcentral.
UGGCUCAGAUUGAACGCUGGCGGCAGGCCUAACACAUGCAAGUCGAACGGUAACAGGAAGCAGCUUGCUGCUUUGCUGACGAGUGGCGGACGGGUGAGUAAUGUCUGGGAAACUGCCUGAUGGAGGGGGAUAACUACUGGGAACGGUGGCUAAUACCGCAUAACGUCGCAAGACCAAAGAGGGGGACCUUCGGGCCUCUUGCCAUCAGAUGUGCCCAGAUGGGAUUAGCUUGUUGGUGAGGUAACGGCUCACCAAGGCGACGAUCCCUAGCUGGUCUGAGAGGAUGACCAGCCACACUGGAACUGAGACACGGUCCAGACUCCUACGGGAGGCAGCAGUGGGGAAUAUUGCACAAUGGGCGCAAGCCUGAUGCAGCCAUGCCGCGUGUAUGAAGAAGGCCUUCGGGUUGUAAAGUACUUUCAGCGGGGAGGAAGGUGUUGCGGUUAAUAACCGCAGCAAUUGACGUUACCCGCAGAAGAAGCACCGGCUAACUCCGUGCCAGCAGCCGCGGUAAUACGGAGGGUGCAAGCGUUAAUCGGAAUUACUGGGCGUAAAGCGCACGCAGGCGGUCUGUCAAGUCGGAUGUGAAAUCCCCGGGCUCAACCUGGGAACUGCAUUCGAAACUGGCAGGCUUGAGUCUUGUAGAGGGGGGUAGAAUUCCAGGUGUAGCGGUGAAAUGCGUAGAGAUCUGGAGGAAUACCGGUGGCGAAGGCGGCCCCCUGGACAAAGACUGACGCUCAGGUGCGAAAGCGUGGGGAGCAAACAGGAUUAGAUACCCUGGUAGUCCACGCCGUAAACGAUGUCUACUUGGAGGUUGUGCCCUUGAGGCGUGGCUUCCGGAGCUAACGCGUUAAGUAGACCGCCUGGGGAGUACGGCCGCAAGGUUAAAACUCAAAUGAAUUGACGGGGGCCCGCACAAGCGGUGGAGCAUGUGGUUUAAUUCGAUGCAACGCGAAGAACCUUACCUGGUCUUGACAUCCACAGAAGAAUCCAGAGAUGGAUUUGUGCCUUCGGGAACUGUGAGACAGGUGCUGCAUGGCUGUCGUCAGCUCGUGUUGUGAAAUGUUGGGUUAAGUCCCGCAACGAGCGCAACCCUUAUCCUUUGUUGCCAGCGAUUAGGUCGGGAACUCAAAGGAGACUGCCAGUGAUAAACUGGAGGAAGGUGGGGAUGACGUCAAGUCAUCAUGGCCCUUACGACCAGGGCUACACACGUGCUACAAUGGCGCAUACAAAGAGAAGCGACCUCGCGAGAGCAAGCGGACCUCAUAAAGUGCGUCGUAGUCCGGAUUGGAGUCUGCAACUCGACUCCAUGAAGUCGGAAUCGCUAGUAAUCGUGGAUCAGAAUGCCACGGUGAAUACGUUCCCGGGCCUUGUACACACCGCCCGUCACACCAUGGGAGUGGGUUGCAAAAGAAGUAGGUAGCUUAACCUUCGGGAGGGCGCUUACCACUUUGUGAUUCAUGACUGGGGUGAAGUCGGAACAAGG